AUUGAACGCUGGCGGCAUGCCUUACACAUGCAAGUCGAACGGCAGCACGGGAGCUUGCUCCUGGUGGCGAGUGGCGAACGGGUGAGUAAUACAUCGGAAUGUACCCAGUAGUGGGGGAUAACUAGUCGAAAGAUUAGCUAAUACCGCAUACGCACUAUGGUGGAAAGCGGGGGAGUCGCAAGACCUCGCGCUAUUGGAGCAGCCGAUGUCCGAUUAGGUAGUUGGUGGGGUAAAGCCUACCAAGCCUGCGAUCGGUAACUGGUCUGAGAGGACGACCAGCCACACUGGGACUGAGACACGGCCCAGACUCCUACGGGAGGCAGCAGUGGGGGAAUUUUGGACAAUGGGGGGAAACCCGUGAUCCAGCAAUGCCGCGUGUGUGACGAAGGCCUCGG
Molecule: ribosomal RNA, 395 nt
Filed under: uncultured bacterium
Lineage: Bacteria
Description: bacterial SSU rRNA
Rfam family: Bacterial small subunit ribosomal RNA
Source: RNAcentral